CUGUAACUAUAACAAGAAGAAUAAUGCUGAUGACUUAGGCGAUUAGAUCAUCGUCUACUAUGAAAUUCCUCUUACGUAAGUUCCUGAAAAAGAAAAUGAACACACUUAUGGUGAUCAUGGGGGAGGAAGGAAACUACGGAACAUCCGAACAACAGGUCGUAUAACC
Molecule: long non-coding RNA, 166 nt
Filed under: Polistes fuscatus (common paper wasp)
Lineage: Eukaryota; Metazoa; Arthropoda; Insecta; Hymenoptera; Vespidae
Description: uncharacterized LOC122526441
Source: RNAcentral